GGGCCUGUGGCGGAAUGGUAGACGCUGCGGACUUAAAAUCCGUUGGGAGUAAUCCCGUGGGGGUUCAAGUCCCCCCAGGCCCACCA
This 86-nucleotide transfer RNA is filed under the name Alphaproteobacteria bacterium. RNAcentral's name for it is "tRNA-Leu". It matches the Rfam family "tRNA". From Rfam's summary of the family: Transfer RNA (tRNA) molecules are approximately 80 nucleotides in length. RNAcentral also lists the same sequence under 1 other name. Lineage: Bacteria; Pseudomonadati; Pseudomonadota; Alphaproteobacteria. The record is from RNAcentral.